This 292-nucleotide ribosomal RNA is filed under the name uncultured bacterium. Its description in RNAcentral is "partial 16S ribosomal RNA". The record is from RNAcentral.
GGACUACUCGGGUAUCUAAUCCUGUUUGCUCCCCACGCUUUCGUGCCUCAACGUCAGGAAUGAGCCAAGAAGCUGCCUUCGCCAUUGGUGUUCCUCCUGAGAUCCACGCAUUUUACCGCUACUCCAGGAAUUCCACUUCUCUCUCUCACCCUCUAGCAAACCAGUUUUCAUUGCGAUCCUCCAGUUAGGCCGGAGUCUUUAACAACGAACUUAAUAAACCGUCUACGCACUCUUUACGCCCAGUAAUUUCGAAUAACGCUUGCACCCUUCGUAUUACCGCGGCGGCUGGCAC